RNAcentral lists this ribosomal RNA (473 nucleotides) under uncultured bacterium. RNAcentral describes it as "bacterial SSU rRNA". It matches the Rfam family "Bacterial small subunit ribosomal RNA", at positions 328 to 793 of the family's 1533-position model. The record is from RNAcentral.
CGCUAUCACUCCUACGGGAGGCAGCAGUAGGGAAUCUUCCACAAUGGGCGCAAGCCUGAUGGAGCAACACCGCGUGAGUGAAGAAGGGUUUCGGCUCGUAAAGCUCUGUUGUUAAAGAAGAACACGUAUGAGAGUAACUGUUCAUACGUUGACGGUAUUUAACCAGAAAGUCACGGCUAACUACGUGCCAGCAGCCGCGGUAAUACGUAGGUGGCAAGCGUUAUCCGGAUUUAUUGGGCGUAAAGAGAGUGCAGGCGGUUUUCUAAGUCUGAUGUGAAAGCCUUCGGCUUAACCGGAGAAGUGCAUCGGAAACUGGAUAACUUGAGUGCAGAAGAAGGUAGUGGAACUCCAUGUGUAGCGGUGGAAUGCGUAGAUAUAUGGAAGAACACCAGUGGCGAAGGCGGCUACCUGGUCUGCAACUGACGCUGAGACUCGAAAGCAUGGGUAGCGAACAGGAUUAGAUACCCUGGUAG